This 354-nucleotide long non-coding RNA is filed under the name Elaeis guineensis (African oil palm). RNAcentral describes it as "long non-coding RNA (EGUI_LNC057771)". The record is from RNAcentral. Lineage: Eukaryota; Viridiplantae; Streptophyta; Magnoliopsida; Arecales; Arecaceae.
CUAAUAUUUAAAAAUUUAAAAUUAAAAUAAAUAUUUUAUUAUUUAUAAUAAAAAUAAUCAUUGUAAAUAAUUAUAUUUAUGAUGAAAAUUUUUUCAUCAUAAAUAUGGAGUUAUUUGUGAUGAAAAAAAUUUUCAUCGUAAAUAUUUUAUUAUUAGCGAUGAAUUUAGUUUUUCAUCGUAAAUUGACUUAUUGGCGAUGAAAUAUUUUUCAUCGCAAAUAUUUUCAUUGUAAAAAAAUCUCUUUUCUUUUAGUGAGGGAGUGUAUCUACCACUGUUUAAAAGUACAGGGGGUGUAAGUGUAAUAUUUUCAAACUUGAGGGGAGCUCAUAAUAAUGUUAUAAUAUUAUAGGGGGA